UGGGGAAUAUUGCACAAUGGGCGCAAGCCUGAUGCAGCCAUGCCGCGUGAGUGAAGAAGGCCUUAGGGUUGUAAAGCUCUUUCAACGGUGAAGAUGAUGACGGUAGCCGUAGAAGAAGCCCCGGCUAACUCCGUGCCAGCAGCCGCGGUAAUACGGAGGGGGCAAGCGUUGUUCGGAAUUACUGGGCGUAAAGGGCACGUAGGCGGCGAUGCGGGUCAGGUGUGAAAGGCCCCGGGCUCAACCUGGGAACUGCACUUGAAACUGCAUUGCUUGAGGACGGAAGAGGAGAAUGGAAUUCCCAGUGUAGAGGUGAAAUUCGUAGAUAUUGGGAAGAACACCAGUGGCGAAGGCGACUCGCUGGUCCGGUACUGACGCUGAGGUGCGAAAGCGUGGGG
Molecule: ribosomal RNA, 395 nt
Filed under: uncultured bacterium
Lineage: Bacteria
Description: bacterial SSU rRNA
Rfam family: Bacterial small subunit ribosomal RNA
Source: RNAcentral